RNAcentral lists this ribosomal RNA (419 nucleotides) under bacterium. RNAcentral describes it as "partial 16S ribosomal RNA". It matches the Rfam family "Bacterial small subunit ribosomal RNA", at positions 356 to 776 of the family's 1533-position model. The record is from RNAcentral.
UGGGGAUAUUGCACAAUGGGCGAAAGCCUGAUGCAGCGACGCCGCGUGGGGGAUGAAGGCUUUCGGGUUGUAAACCUCUUUCGCUAUCGAACAAGGCCCGCUUAGGGUGGGGUGAGGGUAGGGGGAGAAGAAGCGCCGGCUAACUACGUGCCAGCAGCCGCGGUAAUACGUAGGGCGCGAGCGUUGUCCGGAAUUAUUGGGCGUAAAGGGCUUGUAGGCGGCUUGUUGCGCCUGCUGUGAAAACGCGGGGCUUAACUUCGCGCGUGCAGUGGGUACGGGCAGGCUUGAGUGUGGUAGGGGUGACUGGAAUUCCAGGUGUAGCGGUGGAAUGCGCAGAUAUCUGGAGGAACACCGAUGGCGAAGGCAGGUCACUGGGCCAUUACUGACGCUGAGGAGCGAAAGCAUGGGUAGCGAACAGG